AUUAACAAAGCAAAAACAACUAACAAUAUCCCUUUCUCUCUUUCCACGCACAACAUACCCCUCCCUCUCUUCACACAAUCUCCCCUCUACUUCCACCAUACCCCUUCAUCGAACCACCUAAACCAUCAUCGAACCUUCAUCAACUUCCGCGAUUUCCGCAUACCCAACCUUCACCAAUUCAUCACUGUAACCUCACCUACUGAACAACAACCCAUUACAUUGUUCCUUCCGAUUAGAAUCGUCCUUCGAUCCAUCUCUGUAACAGCUCCACAUCACAACUACCGAACCAAUGUUAACGCCGCUCACCUCCGACUCUACGGUCUGCUCCGCCUCUAUUUCUUCCGUCAAACAGCAUACACUGAAUCUCCAUCAAUCCUGCAACAACUUCAGCACCUUUGUUCUGAUAAUUUCUCUACCAUCCGGCUACUUUCAAUUUCUUUUGCUUGUAAUUGUGAUUGUUGUGAAAAUCUCUAUGAAAUUGGGUUUGAUUGUGAAAUUCGAUUGCAAUAG
Non-coding RNA from Vicia faba (fava bean), 510 nucleotides. NCBI's taxonomy places the organism in Eukaryota, Viridiplantae, Streptophyta, Magnoliopsida, Fabales, Fabaceae. The record is from the annotation of a GenBank genome assembly.